AGGUCAAGGUUGUGAUGCGCCCUCCCAU
Molecule: non-coding RNA, 28 nt
Filed under: Rattus norvegicus (Norway rat)
Lineage: Eukaryota; Metazoa; Chordata; Mammalia; Rodentia; Muridae
Source: RNAcentral